AUGGAUACCGAAUGGGAGCUAAAAUUUCCUCUGGUAACCGUGCGAGCCCUAGAGCGUAUCGAGGCCUUAUCGGAUCAUGCACCCAUCAUUCUGGAUUCUAACUCUACGAACCCAGCCAGACGACGCCCUUUCAAAUUUGAAUUGGGAUGGCUGAAUAGGGCCGGAUUUGUAGACAUGAUCAAGAAUGUUUGGGAGAGGCCCGCUGUUGGUCGUACACCUAUUCAACGAUGGAUCUUUAAAAUAAGAGCCAUGAGGCGACACCUCUCUGGAUGGGCAAAACACACCAACGGAAUUUAUAAAAAAGAAAAACAAAGGCUCUGUACCAUCAUUGAUGACCUCGACAAAAUUGCAGAGACGCGCACAUUAUCUCAGCAAGAGAUUGAAUUGAAAAAUCAAUCUAAUGAGAUGGUUGCCCGUCUACUGCGAGAAGAGGAGAUCAAAUACUACCAGAGAUCCAAAGCUGAUUUCAUUUUAAUGGGUGAUAGUAAUACAAUAUACUUCCAAUUGGUCGCCAAUGGGCGGCAUAGGAAGAAAUGUAUUUACAGUCUCCAACAAGAUGAGGGGAGGAUCGAAGGUUAG
This 579-nucleotide ribosomal RNA is filed under the name Triticum aestivum (bread wheat). RNAcentral's name for it is "partial small subunit ribosomal RNA". Lineage: Eukaryota; Viridiplantae; Streptophyta; Magnoliopsida; Poales; Poaceae. The record is from RNAcentral.